UACACUCCUGCGGGAGGCAGCAGUGGGGAAUAUUGGACAAUGGGCGCAAGCCUGAUCCAGCCAUGCCGCGUGAGUGAUGAAGGCCCUAGGGUUGUAAAGCUCUUUCACCGGAGAAGAUAAUGACGGUAUCCGGAGAAGAAGCCCCGGCUAACUUCGUGCCAGCAGCCGCGGUAAUACGAAGGGGGCUAGCGUUGUUCGGAAUUACUGGGCGUAAAGCGCACGUAGGCGGAUCGAUCAGUCAGGGGUGAAAUCCCAGGGCUCAACCCUGGAACUGCCUUUGAUACUGUCGAUCUGGAGUAUGGAAGAGGUGAGUGGAAUGCCGAGUGUAGAGGUGAAAUUCGUAGAUAUUCGGAGGAACACCAGUGGCGAAGGCGGCUCACUGGUCCAUUACUGACGCUGAGGUGCGAAAGCGUGGGGAGCAAACAGGAUUAGAAACCCUUCCCAGAU
This 447-nucleotide ribosomal RNA is filed under the name uncultured organism. RNAcentral's name for it is "partial 16S ribosomal RNA". It matches the Rfam family "Bacterial small subunit ribosomal RNA", at positions 332 to 791 of the family's 1533-position model. The record is from RNAcentral.